GGUGAUCUGGCUGUGACAUCUGUCAUGGUAGCCAUUGCCAGAGUCGGUUUGGCUGCCCUGGCUGGCAAGGCAGCUGUCCCUCUACC
RNAcentral lists this small RNA (86 nucleotides) under Ochotona princeps (American pika). RNAcentral's name for it is "7SK RNA (ENSOPRG00000022945.1)". The record is from RNAcentral. Lineage: Eukaryota; Metazoa; Chordata; Mammalia; Lagomorpha; Ochotonidae.